Molecule: ribosomal RNA, 496 nt
Filed under: uncultured bacterium
Lineage: Bacteria
Description: partial 16S ribosomal RNA
Rfam family: Bacterial small subunit ribosomal RNA
Source: RNAcentral
GAUGAACGCUGGCGGCGUGCCUAAUACAUGCAAGUCGAGCGAACAGACGAGGAGCUUGCUCCUCUGACGUUAGCGGCGGACGGGUGAGUAACACGUGGAUAACCUACCUAUAAGACUGGGAUAACUUCGGGAAACCGGAGCUAAUACCGGAUAAUAUAUUGAACCGCAUGGUUCAAUAGUGAAAGACGGUUUUGCUGUCACUUAUAGAUGGAUCCGCGCCGCAUUAGCUAGUUGGUAAGGUAACGGCUUACCAAGGCAACGAUGCGUAGCCGACCUGAGAGGGUGUUCGGCCACCCUGGACCUAGGCCCCGGUCCGGCCCCCUCGGGGGGGCAGCAGUGGGGAAUCUUCCGCAAGGGGCGAAACCUUGCCGGGGCACCGCCGGGGGGGUGAUGAAGUUUUCCGGUCCGUAAACCCUUUUUUUUGGGGAAAAAAAAAUUUGUAAGUACCUAUGCCCUUUUUGACGGUCCCUAACCAGAAAGCCCCGCCUAAUUCCGU